Molecule: transfer RNA, 68 nt
Filed under: Pteronarcys princeps (ebony salmonfly)
Lineage: Eukaryota; Metazoa; Arthropoda; Insecta; Plecoptera; Pteronarcyidae
Description: tRNA-Tyr
Rfam family: tRNA
About the family: Transfer RNA (tRNA) molecules are approximately 80 nucleotides in length. Their secondary structure includes four short double-helical elements and three loops (D, anti-codon, and T loops).
Source: RNAcentral
GGUAGAAUGGCUGAGAUAUAAGGUGAUAGAUUGUAAAUCUAUUUAGGAGGUAUACCCCUCUUCUACCA